RNAcentral lists this long non-coding RNA (1281 nucleotides) under Linum usitatissimum (flax). Its description in RNAcentral is "long non-coding RNA (LUSI_LNC008096)". Lineage: Eukaryota; Viridiplantae; Streptophyta; Magnoliopsida; Malpighiales; Linaceae. The record is from RNAcentral.
UGAAUGUCGUCUAUCAGCUCUAAGAAGCUUAUUUUGUACUAUGGAAUCUCAUGUCUGAGAGUGGUUUUACUAUGUUCCAUUACUUUGAGUUGUGCUUAACUCGAGAUUAACAAGAGGUAGGUUUGUUCACAUGCACUGAGCAUCAUGCUACUUCCAGUUCACAUUUAGGUGCCUGCUUGAACUUGAAAAUCUUUUGCUCUAGGCGCAGGAUUAAUUGAUUCAGUUGUGUGAAUUGUCUUUAUAGAUGCAAGUGGAUAGAACUUCAAAUUGCUUGCUUGCUCUGCUAAGGUAGGUUGAUAAAAUUCAGGUGAGUGCCAAAGCUUAUUUUACAUUCCAAGCAUCCUCUAUCUUACACAAGUGAUGCAUAAUUUGGUAUUGUGCAUGCAUGUCGUCUUGACAAUGGACCCUGCAUGCCAAAUUGAGGGUUGCUUGAAACCGUAGCAUUUGUGUCUGCUCUGAUGUUCGGCUUCGGUUAAACAUGCUGGCUUCUGCUUUGUGGCUGCUAGGAGGGGCAGGCAUUGAUUGCUGGCAUCAGCUAGUCUACUGGUUGUAAUGCAUCCUGUUGUAUAAUUGGAAUCAUAACAGAUUUGAAGCUUUUUAUAUAAUAGAAGGUUACUGCAUCUAUUCAGUUAACUGUGAGAUGGGGUUUACCUAUUCACGAUCCUUUGCUUACAUUAGAAGGUCAUUGCUUCUGUUCAGGAUUUAUGUUUAGGAACUACGGUUUGGAUUUGGUAACCCUGGUCUAAGAUAGUCCGACGCUCGUAACACUUGCGCGGUGGGUGCUUCUGCCCAUUUGGUGCCAUCCGUGAGUGACUGUCCUUGAAUAUAUAAUGUAUGACACCGGUUGUUCGAAGCCAUCCAAGACUGAGAAUGCUCAUGGAUGUCAAUUGUGAAAUGGAGGUGUUCGAAGCCAUCCAACUACAAAAUGGGCAACAAAUUGGUUAGCACUAAAUGAACUAUACAAGUGAAUAAAAGAAAGGAAGUAAGCGUUUCAAGUAGUACACAAACCUCCAUGACCUCACCACGAUGCAAGAUCCACUGCCGAGUAAUCUUUUGGUACUAUUACAUGUACUCGCCAUGGAAAAACCACCGGAAAAGCCACUGAUGCGGAUCCAUAAGGAACUCAACACCAUCUAUAUAUUGAUAGUCAAGACUCCUUGGCAGACGUGGAGCCUUGUUGAUCAUCAUCCUCUGCAUCAGCUCGAGGAGAUUAAUGACCUUGCUUUGAUCCAGUUUCCAUCAGCUCCAGAACUGACUAAGUACACGAUCCGGCCAGGACCA